GACGAACGCUGGCGGCGUGCUUAACACAUGCAAGUCGAACGGUAAGGCCCUUCGGGGUACACGAGUGGCGAACGGGUGAGUAACACGUGGGUGAUCUGCCCUGCACUUCGGGAUAAGCCUGGGAAACUGGGUCUAAUACCGGAUAGGACCACUGCCUGCAUGGGUGGUGGUGGAAAGCUUUUGCGGUGUGGGAUGGGCCCGCGGCCUAUCAGCUUGUUGGUGGGGUGAUGGCCUACCAAGGCGACGACGGGUAGCCGGCCUGAGAGGGUGACCGGCCACACUGGGACUGGGAUACGGCCCAGACUCCUACGGGAGGCAGCAGUGGGGAAUAUUGCACAAUGGGCGCAAGCCUGAUGCAGCGACGCCGCGUGAGGGAUGACGGCCCUCGGGUUGUAAAGCUCUGUCUUUGGGGACGAUAAUGACGGUACCCAAGGAGGAAGUCACGGCUAACUACGUGCCAGCCGCCGCCGUAA
Molecule: ribosomal RNA, 473 nt
Filed under: uncultured bacterium
Lineage: Bacteria
Description: partial 16S ribosomal RNA
Rfam family: Bacterial small subunit ribosomal RNA
Source: RNAcentral